Molecule: ribosomal RNA, 502 nt
Filed under: uncultured Glomeromycotina
Lineage: Eukaryota; Fungi; Glomeromycota
Description: partial small subunit ribosomal RNA
Rfam family: Eukaryotic small subunit ribosomal RNA
Source: RNAcentral
CCAAUAGCGUAUAUUAAAGUUGUUGCAGUUAAAAAGCUCGUAGUUGAACUUCGGGGUCUACCCAUUGGUCAGGCUUAAUUGUCUGUACUGGUGAGAUGGAUCUCUACCUUCUGAGGAACUUUCAUGCCAUUUAUUUGGUGUGAUUGGAAAUCAGGACUGUUACUUUGAAAAAAUUAGAGUGUUUAAAGCAGACUAUCGUCUGAAUACAUUAGCAUGGAAUAAUGAAAUAGGACGGACUGAUUCUAUUUCGUUGGUUUCUAGGAUCACCGUAAUGAUUAAUAGGGAUAGUUGGGGGCAUUAGUAUUCAAUUGUCAGAGGUGAAAUUCUUGGAUUUAUUGAAGACUAACUACUGCGAAAGCAUUUGCCAAGGAUGUUUUCAUUAAUCAAGAACGAAAGUUAGGGGAUCGAAGACGAUCAGAUACCGUCGUAGUCUUAACCAUAAACUAUGCCGACUAGGAAUCAGACGAUGUUAAUUUUUUAAUGACUCGUUUGGCACCUUACG